RNAcentral lists this ribosomal RNA (220 nucleotides) under Leptoglossus oppositus. RNAcentral's name for it is "partial small subunit ribosomal RNA". The record is from RNAcentral. Lineage: Eukaryota; Metazoa; Arthropoda; Insecta; Hemiptera; Coreidae.
UAAAGUGUUAAAUUGAUUAAGAUUGAUCCUGUCUUUUAAAGUUUUGAUUGAUUAGUUAUUUGGUAAUAUUAGAUAUAAAUUUUUGUGUGUUUAUUUAAUUUAUCUAAAAGGUAAAUUUUGUGUGUAUAUUUGUAGUUUUUAAUUUUGAAUAUUGUGGGAACAUAGAUUCAGUUAAUUGAUUUAGAAUUGUUUAAGGUUGUGCCAGCAUACGCGGUUAUAC